This 943-nucleotide ribosomal RNA is filed under the name Monothalamids sp. RNAcentral's name for it is "SSU rRNA". It matches the Rfam family "Eukaryotic small subunit ribosomal RNA", at positions 1160 to 1791 of the family's 1831-position model. Lineage: Eukaryota; Foraminifera. The record is from RNAcentral.
AAGGGCACCACAAGAACGCGUGGAGCAUGUGGCUUAAUUUGACUCAACGCGGGAAAACUUACCGGGUCCGGACACACUGAGGAUUGACAGGCGACCAUUUGUAAAUAUGCUAGUCCUUUCAUGAUUGUGUGAUAGGUGGUGCAUGGCCGUUCUUAGUUCGUGGAGUGAUCUGUCUGCUUAAUUGCGUUUCAGAUAAAUGUGAGGUAUAGAGUGUAUGUUGUGUUUCGUUUUGCUUUGUUCACUCAUCGCAUACGGCCGACUGAACUCUCCUCCAUUGAAAGCAACGAACGUGACCGCAACCCUUUGUUGAAUCUAACUAGAUUAUUUUCAAACUAAGGGGACCGCCAGGGUUUGUAAAACCGGAGGAAGGUUGCGGCAAUAACAGGUCUGUGAUGCCCUUAGAUGUUCCGGGCUGCACACGUGCUACAAUGAUUGUCGCAGAAAGCAUCUAUAUUUGAUUGUUCUCUGAAAACUUACACUUCUUUUGUUAGUUGUGGAGUUGGAAGGAACCACACUAUGGAUCACACAUUGUUCGUGUUUUACACUUACUUUGUGAUAAUGAACCGAGUGUGCAACCUACCUCGAAAGUUCGGUAGGCAAUCAAUUCCAAGUGACAAUCUCCCUGUGUGCACUAAUCAAAUGUUACUGUGGUGGAUUCUUCACGGAUGAAACGUUACACAGUUGACAUGUGCUCUAUUAAUUCGUGGUCGGGACAGACCAUUGCUAAUUGUUGGUCUCGGUCUCAACUAGGAAUGCCUUGUACGGGUCUUUGGUUCAACAAACCACCCGGAAUACGUCCCUGCCCUUUGUACACACCGCCCGUCGCUCUUACCGAUGGACUACUCUGUGAGUUUGAGGGACUGGUCUUCUCUCGUAUUUAUUUACGUGGAGCAAAACUAUGGAAACUUACACGAACAGUGUGGUCUAAAGGAAAGAGAAGUCG